GGAGAUGAAAAGCAUGGAGAACGGACCACCCGGGGCGGACCUGAGCCUGGCUGAGCUGGCGCAGCAGCUGGGAAUGACCCAGAGGCGGAGGAAGGAGACGGAGCGGAAGGUUGAAGGCCUGCAGUCCCAGCUUAGGGCCCUGGAGGCCAACGAACACAGGCGGGUUGAGAUGCAGCUCCUGGACAAAAUGAAGCUGGACGCGCAGCUCUUCCAGGAGGAGAUCCGUCUCGUCCACCUGGGUCGGCAGGUGGCGCAGCUCCAAGCGGCUCGGCGGCAGCUGCAGACCAAGGAGAACGCUAGGAGGAGGGCUUCGACCCUGUCUGACCUGGUGUCUUCCCAGUGCCCCGCCUUGCUGCUGCUGGUCCAUGAGCCGCCGAGCGAGACGGGGGCUUACGGCUUCACCGCGCGGUACCUGGAGGGCAGGGGGCUCGUGGUGGUGCAGGCACAGAACUCCCACCUUCAGCCCAGUGACAGGUAAAGGUGUAACACCUGAACACAGACUGCGCUCUGGUCCUCCCUCAUCAUGUUGCUCU
RNAcentral lists this long non-coding RNA (533 nucleotides) under Scleropages formosus (Asian bonytongue). RNAcentral's name for it is "lncRNA (ENSSFOG00015029271.1)". Lineage: Eukaryota; Metazoa; Chordata; Actinopteri; Osteoglossiformes; Osteoglossidae. The record is from RNAcentral.